UCUUCGGAUUUGUGGAAAGUGGCGAACGGGUGCGUAACACGUGAGCAACCUGCCCUAAAGUGCGGAAUAGCCUGUUGAAAAAUGGAUUAAUGCCGCAUGUGGCUCUUCUUCGCAUGGAGAAGUAGCUAAAGCUUGUAAUGGCGCUUUAGGAUGGGCUCGCGGCCUAUCAGCUUGUUGGUAAGGUAAAAGCUUACCAAGGCUAAGACGGGUAGCUGGUCUGAGAGGAUGAUCAGCCACACCGGGACUGAGACACGGCCCGGACACCUACGGGUGGCAGCAGUUUCGAAUCAUUCACAAUGGGCGAAAGCCUGAUGAUGCAAUGCCGCGUGGAGGAUGAAGGCCUUAGGGUCGUAAACUCCUGUCAUUGGGGAACAACAAGUAGGUUUAUAGCCUAUCAUGAGUUAACCCAAAGAGGAAGAGGUGGCUAACUCCGUGCCAGCAGCCGCGGUAAUACGGAGACCUCGAGCGUUACUCGGAUUCACUGGGCGUAAAGGGUGAGUAGGUGGCUAGGUAUGUCA
Molecule: ribosomal RNA, 518 nt
Filed under: uncultured Verrucomicrobiae bacterium
Lineage: Bacteria; Pseudomonadati; Verrucomicrobiota; Verrucomicrobiia
Description: bacterial SSU rRNA
Rfam family: Bacterial small subunit ribosomal RNA
Source: RNAcentral